This 603-nucleotide ribosomal RNA is filed under the name uncultured Oscillatoriales cyanobacterium. Its description in RNAcentral is "bacterial SSU rRNA". It matches the Rfam family "Bacterial small subunit ribosomal RNA", at positions 152 to 787 of the family's 1533-position model. Lineage: Bacteria; Bacillati; Cyanobacteriota; Cyanophyceae; Oscillatoriales. The record is from RNAcentral.
GGAAACGACUGCUAAUACCGGAUGUGCCUUCGGGUGAAAGAUUUAUUGCCAGAAGAUGAGCUCGCGUCUGAUUAGCUAGUUGGUAGGGUAAAAGCCUACCAAGGCGACGAUCAGUAGCUGGUCUGAGAGGAUGAGCAGCCACACUGGGACUGAGACACGGCCCAGACUCCUACGGGAGGCAGCAGUGGGGAAUUUUCCGCAAUGGGCGAAAGCCUGACGGAGCAAGACCGCGUGAGGGAGGAAGGCCUUUGGGUUGUAAACCUCUUUUGUCAGGGAAGAACAAAAUGACGGUACCUGACGAAUCAGCCUCGGCUAACUCCGUGCCAGCAGCCGCGGUAAUACGGAGGAGGCAAGCGUUAUCCGGAAUCAUUGGGCGUAAAGCGUCCGUAGGUGGCGAAGUAAGUCUGCUGUCAAAGACCACAGCUUAACUGUGGAAAGGCAGUGGAAACUGCAGCGCUAGAGUACGGUAGGGGUAGAGGGAAUUCCAGGCGUAGCGGUGAAAUGCGUAGAUAUCUGGAAGAACACCGGUGGCGAAAGCGCUCUACUGGGCCGUAACUGACACUGAGGGACGAAAGCUAGGGGAGCGAAAGGGAUUAGAUACCC